CCUACGGGUGGCAGCAGUGAGGAAUAUUGGUCAAUGGCCGGAAGGCUGAACCAGCCAUGCCGCGUGAAGGUCAGUGCCCUAUGGGCGUUAAACUUCUUUUGUGCGGGAGCAAUAAUGGUCACGUGUGGCCAGACGAGAGUACCCUACGAAUAAGCAUCGCCUAACUCCGUGCCAGCAGCCGCGGUAAUACGGGGGAUGCAAGCGUUAUCCGGAUUUAUUGGGUUUUAAGGGUGCGUAGGCUGGGAGGUAAGUCAGCGGUGAAAUGCCCCCGCUCAACGGGGUGAAGUGCCAUUGAUACUGCCGUGCUGGAGUGCGGGUGACGUAGGAGGAAUGUGUGGUGUAGCGGUGAAAUGCAUAGAUAUCACACAGAACACCGAUUGCGAAGGCAGCUGACG
RNAcentral lists this ribosomal RNA (395 nucleotides) under uncultured bacterium. RNAcentral's name for it is "partial 16S ribosomal RNA". It matches the Rfam family "Bacterial small subunit ribosomal RNA", at positions 338 to 730 of the family's 1533-position model. The record is from RNAcentral.